UGGUAUAAGAUGGACUCGCGUCCGAUUAGCUAGUUGGUGGGGUAACGGCCCACCAAGGCGACGAUCCAUAGCCGGCCUGAGAGGGUGAACGGCCACAUUGGGACUGAGACACGGCCCAGACUCCUACGGGAGGCAGCAGUGGGGAAUAUUGCACAAUGGGGGAAACCCUGAUGCAGCGACGCCGCGUGAAGGAAGAAGUAUCUCGGUAUGUAAACUUCUAUCAGCAGGGAAGAUAGUGACGGUACCUGACUAAGAAGCCCCGGCUAACCACGUGCCAGCAGCCGCGGUAAUACGUAGGGGGCAAGCGUUAUCCGGAUUUACUGGGUGUAAAGGGAGCGUAGACGGUGUGGCAAGUCUGAUGUGAAAGGCAUGGGCUCAACCCGUGGAUUGCAUUGGAAACUGUCAUUCUUAAGUGCCGGAGGGGUAAGCGGAAUUCCUAGUGUAGCGGUGAAAUGCGUAGAUAUUAGGAGGAACACCAGUGGCGAAGGCGGUUUACUGGACGGUAACUGACGUUGAGGCUCGAAAGCGUGGGGAGCAAACAGGGUUAGAAACCCUGGUAGUCCACGCCGUAAACAAAGAAUACUAGGUGUCGGGUGGCAAAGCCAUUCGGUGCCGUCGCAAACGCGGUAAGUAUUCCACCUGGGGAGUACGUUCGCAAGAAUGAAACUCAAAGGAAUAGACGGGGACCCGCACAAGCGGUGGAGCAUGUGGUUUAAUUCGAAGCAACGCGAAGAACCUUACCAAAUCUUGACAUCCCUCUGACCGGUCUGUAAUCGGACCUUCUCUUCGGAGCAGAGGUGACAGGAGGUGCAUGGUUGUCGUCAGCUCGUGUUGUGAGAUGUUGGGCUAGAGUCCCGCAACGAGCGCAACCCCUCUCUUCAGUAGCCAGCAUUUAAGGUGGGCACUCUGGGGAGACCGCCAGGGAUAACCUGGAGGAAGGCGGGGAUGACGUCAAAUCAUCAUGCUCCCUCUGAUUCGGGCUACACACGUGGUACAAUGGGGUAAACAAAGGGAAGCGAGAUCGUGUGAUGGAGCAAAUCCCAAAAAAAACGUCCCAGUUUGGACUGUAGUCCGCAACCCGACUACACGAAGCUGGAAUAGCUAGUAAUCGCGGAUCAGAAUGACGCGGUGCAUAAAGGCCCGUCUCUUGCACU
RNAcentral lists this ribosomal RNA (1154 nucleotides) under uncultured bacterium. RNAcentral describes it as "bacterial SSU rRNA". It matches the Rfam family "Bacterial small subunit ribosomal RNA", at positions 216 to 1387 of the family's 1533-position model. The record is from RNAcentral.